Molecule: ribosomal RNA, 369 nt
Filed under: uncultured bacterium
Lineage: Bacteria
Description: bacterial SSU rRNA
Rfam family: Bacterial small subunit ribosomal RNA
Source: RNAcentral
GGGCCCGCACAAGCGGUGGAGUAUGUGGUUUAAUUCGAUGCAACGCGAAGAACCUUACCAGGGUUUGACAUCCUGCGAAUCUCUUGGAAACAGGAGAGUGCCUUCGGGAACGCAGUGACAGGUGGUGCAUGGCUGUCGUCAGCUCGUGUCGUGAGAUGUUGGGUUAAGUCCCGCAACGAGCGCAACCCACGUCUUUAGUUGCCAGCAUUUAGUUGGGCACUCUAGAGAGACUGCCGGUGAUAAACCGGAGAAGGUGUGGAUGACGUCAAGUCAUCAUGCCCCUUACAUCUGGGCUACACACGUGCUACAAUGGGUAGGACAAUGAGAUGCAAAUCUGCGAAGACAAGCUUAAUCUAUAAACCUAUCCUA